RNAcentral lists this non-coding RNA (174 nucleotides) under Leeia speluncae. Its description in RNAcentral is "6S RNA". It matches the Rfam family "6S / SsrS RNA". From Rfam's summary of the family: E. coli 6S RNA was the first non coding RNA to be sequenced, but its function was unknown until recently. It consists of 184 nucleotides that fold into an extended hairpin structure with a large single-stranded internal bulge. Lineage: Bacteria; Pseudomonadati; Pseudomonadota; Betaproteobacteria; Neisseriales; Leeiaceae. The record is from RNAcentral.
UUAUCCCUGCAGUGUUCGUUAGGGUUCGAUAUCUUUGAACCAAUAUUUGUGACUCUGGCUGCCAGAGUUCGGAGUGGUGAGCUAUUCCAUAGUGAAAAGGCCUAAAGCUCCGGUUAGGCGGCCCCUUGAACCUUAGGUUCAAGACUAGAAACCGACGGCACUUGCGGGGAUUCU